GUCCUGCCAGUAGUCAUAUGCUUGUCUCAAAGACUAAGCCAUGCAUGUCUCAGUACAGGCCUACCCAAGGCGAAACCGCGAAUGGCUCAUUAAAUCAGCCCUGAUUUAUUUGAUGUUGUAAAACCUUUACAUGGAUAACUGUGGCAAUUCUAGAGCUAAUACGUGCACCCGAGCUCCGACCCUGCCGUCAAAGGCGGGGGAAGGGCGCUUUUAUUAGACCAAAAACCGAUCGGACUUCGGUCCGUCUCCCAAAACGUUUUGUGAUGAAUCUGGAUAACUUAGCCGAGCGCUGAGGUCUUAGUACCGGCGCCGUAUCUUUCAAGUGUCUGCCUUAUCAGCUGUCGACUGUAGGCCAUACGCCUACAAUGGCUGUAACGGGUAACGGGGAAUCAGGGUUCGAUUCCGGAGAGGGAGCCUGAGAAACGGCUACCACAUCUAAGGAAGGCAGCAGGCACGCAAAUUACCCACUCCCGGCUCGGGGAGGUAGUGACGUAAAAUAACGAUGCGGGACUCUUCCGAGGCCUCGCAAUCGGAAGAGUUUACUCUAAAUCCUUGGACGAGGAUCCAUUGGAGGGCAAGUCUGGUGCCAGCAGCCGCGGUAAUUCCAGCUCCAAUAGCGUAUAUUAAAAUUGCUGCGGUUAAAAAGCUCGUAGUUGGAAUUCUGAUUCGGACCGGCAACCCAUCCAAGGCGCGCCCUCGUUACUUGCGAGCGGUAUCCCUGGGCUCUUUUCGUCCCCGUCGUCUCGGCCUCGGUCCUACGUUUUAAAGCCAUCGCCCCCAAGUUCGACCGUCGGUUACCGUUCUCUCCGAGGCGCUCGUCGUCUUCGUUGGUUCGGUGCCGGCGACCAUCGACAAGGGCGUUCGGUGAGUGGGUCUGGGCGUCGAACGUGCGGGGGUUAAACAAGCGGAUUGACGCUUUUCAGGGUCCGUUCCAGGCGGGUAAGCGCGCCCGGUGGUUCACUGUCCGGCUCCGAAUUACAAAAGCCGUCGGCUCUCACGAGGUGCUCUUUACCGAGUGUCCCGCGUGGCCGGCAAGUUUACUUUGAAAAAAUUAGGGUGCUUAGAGCAGGCAAUAACCUACGCCUGAAUGGUAGUGCAUGGAAUAAUGGAAAACGACCUCGGUUCUGUCAUUUGUAUCGGUUUUCUGAACCCGAGGUAAUGAUUAACGGAAACAGACGGGGGCAUUAGUAUUGCGACGCUAGAGGUGAAAUUCUUGGACCGUCGCAAGACUAGCUACUGCGAAGGCAUUUGCCUAGAAUGCUUUCAUUAAUCAAGAACGAAAGUUAGAGGAUCGAAGGCGAUCAGAUACCGCCCUAGUUCUAACCUUAAACGAUGCUAACUAGCGAUCUGUCGGAAGUCAUUCCCACGACUCGACAGGCAGCUUCCGGGAAACCAAAGUCUUUGAGUUCCGGGGGAAGUAUGGUUGCAAAGCUGAAACUUAAAGGAAUUGACGGAAGGGCACCACCAGGAGUGGAGCCUGCGGCUUAAUUUGACUCAACACGGGGAACCUCACCAGACCCGGACACCGGAAGGAUUGACAGAUUGAGAGCUCUUUCUCGAUUCGGGUGGGUGGUGGUGCAUGGCCGUUCUUAGUUGGUGGAGUGAUUUGUCUGGUUGAUUCCGAUAACGAACGAGAUUCUUUUCUGCUAACUAGUCGGCGAAUCGUCUCCCAAGAAGGGUCCUUCCCGGUUGGUAUCGGCGUCGAAUUCUUCGCCGCCCCCGUCGCUUAGCGUGGAGGUCGUUUUCUCAGCUUUACACCCACUCUUUUUCGUCGGUCGGUCAGCAGUAGGAGGGGUGGCCGCUGCAAAGCGGCUUCUUACCUCCGUUCUGCUGUUUCGGCCGGCGUUGGGGGCCCGGGUGUGGGCGAGGGGCGUCUUCGCGUGGCGGCGGCGGGAUCAGGUGACGGGGAAGCGUCNUACCUCCGCGCGUUGGUCCCAGCGAGGGGCGUUCGUCGCAACAUCUUCUUAGAGGGAUCGGCAGCGUCUAGCUGCAUGAGAUGGAGCAAUAACAGGUCUGUGAUGCCCUUAGAUGUUCUGGGCCGCACGCGCGCUACAAUGAAGGGAUCAGCGUGCUUUCCCCCUCCGAAAGGAGCGGGUAACCCGUUGAAACCCCUUCCCGAUUGGGAUUGGGGAUUGUAAGUGUUUCCCAUGAACGAGGAAUUCCUAGUAAGCGCAAGUCAUUAGCUUGCGAUGAUUACGUCCCUGCCCUUUGUACACACCGCCCGUCGCUACUACCGAUUGAAUGAUUCAGUGAGGGCAUCGGACUGGCGCCCUCGGUAGCCUUCGGCUCGCGAUAACGCCUCGCUUCGGCGUGGCUUAGAGCGUCCGCGGGCACCCCGGGCCGACGGAAAGA
RNAcentral lists this ribosomal RNA (2352 nucleotides) under Ligidium beieri. RNAcentral describes it as "SSU rRNA". It matches the Rfam family "Eukaryotic small subunit ribosomal RNA". Lineage: Eukaryota; Metazoa; Arthropoda; Malacostraca; Isopoda; Ligiidae. The record is from RNAcentral.